This 253-nucleotide ribosomal RNA is filed under the name uncultured bacterium. RNAcentral describes it as "partial 16S ribosomal RNA". It matches the Rfam family "Bacterial small subunit ribosomal RNA", at positions 524 to 776 of the family's 1533-position model. The record is from RNAcentral.
UACGUAGGGGGCUAGCGUUAUCCGGAUUUAUUGGGCGUAAAGGGAACGCAGGCGGUCUUUUAAGUCUGAUGUGAAAGCCUUCGGCUUAACCGGAGUAGUGCAUUGGAAACUGGGAGACUUGAGUGCAGAAGAGGAGAGUGGAACUCCAUGUGUAGCGGUGAAAUGCGUAGAUAUAUGGAAGAACACCAGUGGCGAAAGCGGCUCUCUGGUCUGUAACUGACGCUGAGGUUCGAAAGCGUGGGUAGCAACCAGG